Molecule: ribosomal RNA, 606 nt
Filed under: Providencia vermicola
Lineage: Bacteria; Pseudomonadati; Pseudomonadota; Gammaproteobacteria; Enterobacterales; Morganellaceae
Description: bacterial SSU rRNA
Rfam family: Bacterial small subunit ribosomal RNA
Source: RNAcentral
UGCGCAGGGGCGGCCUACACAUGCAAGUCGAGCGGUAACAGGGGAAGCUUGCUUCCCGCUGACGAGCGGCGGACGGGUGAGUAAUGUAUGGGGAUCUGCCCGAUAGAGGGGGAUAACCACUGGAAACGGUGGCUAAUACCGCAUAAUCUCUCAGGAGCAAAGCAGGGGAACUUCGGUCCUUGCGCUAUCGGAUGAACCCAUAUGGGAUUAGCUAGUAGGUGGGGUAAUGGCUCACCUAGGCGACGAUCCCUAGCUGGUCUGAGAGGAUGAUCAGCCACACUGGGACUGAGACACGGCCCAGACUCCUACGGGAGGCAGCAGUGGGGAAUAUUGCACAAUGGGCGCAAGCCUGAUGCAGCCAUGCCGCGUGUAUGAAGAAGGCCCUAGGGUUGUAAAGUACUUUCAGUCGGGAGGAAGGCGUUGAUGCUAAUAUCAUCAACGAUUGACGUUACCGACAGAAGAAGCACCGGGUAACUCCGUGCCAGCACCCGCGGUAAUACGGAGGGUGCAAGCGUUAAUCGGAAUUACUGGGCGUAAGGCGCACGCAGGCGGUUGAUUAAGUUAGAUGUGAAAUCACCGGGCUUAACUUGGGAAAGUCAUCUAAGA